UACAGUGUACCUCAGUGGUAGAGUGUUUGCCUAGCAUGCAUGAGGCCCUGGGUUCAAUUCCCAGCUCUGCAA
This 72-nucleotide transfer RNA is filed under the name Heterocephalus glaber (naked mole-rat). It matches the Rfam family "tRNA". From Rfam's summary of the family: Transfer RNA (tRNA) molecules are approximately 80 nucleotides in length. Their secondary structure includes four short double-helical elements and three loops (D, anti-codon, and T loops). Further hydrogen bonds mediate the characteristic L-shaped molecular structure. tRNAs have two regions of fundamental functional importance: the anti-codon, which is responsible for specific mRNA codon recognition, and the 3' end, to which the tRNAs corresponding amino acid is attached (by aminoacyl-tRNA synthetases). tRNAs cope with the degeneracy of the genetic code in two manners: having more than one tRNA (with a specific anti-codon) for a particular amino acid; and 'wobble' base-pairing, i.e. permitting non-standard base-pairing at the 3rd anti-codon position. The record is from Rfam by way of RNAcentral. Lineage: Eukaryota; Metazoa; Chordata; Mammalia; Rodentia; Bathyergidae.